CCUACGGGGAGCAGCAGUCGAGAAUCAUUCACAAUGGGGGAAACCCUGAUGGUGCGACGCCGCGUGGGGGAAUGAAGGUCUUCGGAUUGUAAACCCCUGUCAUGUGGGAGCAAAUUAAAAAGAUAGUACCACAAGAGGAAGAGACGGCUAACUCUGUGCCAGCAGCCGCGGUAAUACAGAGGUCUCAAGCGUUGUUCGGAAUCACUGGGCGUAAAGCGUGCGUAGGCUGUUUCGUAAGUCGUGUGUGAAAGGCGCGGGCUCAACCCGCGGACGGCACAAGAUACUGCGAGACUAGAGUAAUGGAGGGGGAACCGGAAUUCUCGGUGUAGCAGUGAAAUGCGGAGAUAUCGAGAGGAACACUCGUGGCGAAGGCGGGUUCCUGGACAUUAACUGACGCUGAGGCACGAAGGCCAGGGGAGCGAAAGGGAUUAGAUACCCGUGUAGUC
Molecule: ribosomal RNA, 446 nt
Filed under: uncultured bacterium
Lineage: Bacteria
Description: partial 16S ribosomal RNA
Rfam family: Bacterial small subunit ribosomal RNA
Source: RNAcentral